AGCGGCGGAUGGGUGAGUAACACGUGGGGAACCUGCCCCUAAGUCUGGGAUACCAUUUGGAAACAGGUGCUAAUACCGGAUAAUAAAGCAGAUCGCAUGAUCAGCUUUUGAAAGGCGGCGUAAGCUGUCGCUAAGGGAUGGCCCCGCGGUGCAUUAGCUAGUUGGUAAGGUAACGGCUUACCAAGGCGACGAUGCAUAGCCGAGUUGAGAGACUGAUCGGCCACAUUGGGACUGAGACACGGCCCAAACUCCUACGGGAGGCAGCAGUAGGGAAUCUUCCACAAUGGACGCAAGUCUGAUGGAGCAACGCCGCGUGAGUGAAGAAGGUUUUCGGAUCGUAAAGCUCUGUUGUUGGUGAAGAAGGAUAGAGGUAGUAACUGGCCUUUAUUUGACGGUAAUCAACCAGAAAGUCACGGCUAACUACGUGCCAGCAGCCGCGGUAAUACGUAGGUGGCAAGCGUUGUCCGGAUUUAUUGGGCGUAAAGCGAGCGCAGGCGGAAAAAUAAGUCUAAUGUGAAAGCCCUCGGCUUAACCGAGGAACUGCAUCGGAAACUGUUUUUCUUGAGUGCAGAAGAGGAGAGUGGAACUCCAUGUGUAGCGGUGGGAUGCGUAGAUAUAUGGAAGAACACCAGUGGCGAAGGCGGCUCUCUGGUCUGCAACUGACGCUGAGGCUCGAAAGCAUGGGUAGCGAACAGGAUUAGAUACCCUGGUAGUUCAUGCCGUAAACGAUGAGUGCUAAGUGU
RNAcentral lists this ribosomal RNA (743 nucleotides) under uncultured bacterium. Its description in RNAcentral is "bacterial SSU rRNA". It matches the Rfam family "Bacterial small subunit ribosomal RNA", at positions 94 to 823 of the family's 1533-position model. The record is from RNAcentral.